UGGGGAAUAUUGCACAAUGGGCGCAAGCCUGAUGCAGCCAUGCCGCGUGUGUGAAGAAGGCCUUCGGUUGUAAAGCACUUCAGCGAGGAGGAAGGAUGGUGGAGCUUAAUACGCUCAUCAAUUGACGUUACUCGCAGAAGAAGCACCGGCUAACUCCGUGCCAGCAGCCGCGGUAAUACGGAGGGUGCAAGCGUUAAUCGGAAUUACUGGGCGUAAAGCGCACGCAGGCGGUUUGUUAAGUCAGAUGUGAAAUCCCCGGGCUCAACCUGGGAACUGCAUUUGAAACUGGCAAGCUAGAGUCUCGUAGAGGGGGGUAGAAUUCCAGGUGUAGCGGUGAAAUGCGUAGAGAUCUGGAGGAAUACCGGUGGCGAAGGCGGCCCCCCUGGACGAAGACUGACGCUCAGGUGCGAAAGGCGUGGGGCAGCAAACAGGAUUAGAUACCCUGGUAGUCCACGCUGUAAACGAUGUCGAUUUUGGAGGUUGUGCCCUUGAGGCGUGGCUUCCGGAGCUAACGCGUUAAAUCGACCGCCU
This 531-nucleotide ribosomal RNA is filed under the name uncultured bacterium. RNAcentral's name for it is "partial 16S ribosomal RNA". It matches the Rfam family "Bacterial small subunit ribosomal RNA", at positions 355 to 874 of the family's 1533-position model. The record is from RNAcentral.